CUCUCUCAAAUUAAAAAAAAAUUAAAGUGUCUGUGACAGUAACCCCUGCAAGUACCCAGGAAAAUUAUUAAUGUGUAUUUGAUUAUUACUUUCUGCCUUAAUGAAUUUCAUGGUGAGAAUUUCAUGGUGUUUAAGAUAUACAACAUUAAUUACAUUCAAUGCCAUGUCUAUUCAUUUCAUUUAAUAACUCUUUGUGAGGUAGAUGGUGUGAGCACAGUACUAUGUCAUAAAAAUGAAACAAUGAUUAAGAUAUACCUACUCUGAACAUGGAUGCAGACUUGUGGGGAGAAAGACAUAAAGAGUGGAUUUAAUAAAAGGAAGACUGGUAGAAAUGCUUUAUUGGAGCACUGGUUCUCAGCCAGGACAAUUCUGUCCCCCAGGGAACAUUUGGCGAUAACCGGAGACCUUGUGGAUUGUUACACCUGGGGAGUGCUAUUGGCAUCUAUCCAAUAGAUGGCCAGGGAUGCAUCUACAUCCCAGUGAUCUAUGCUGCACAGGACAGACCCACAACAAAGAAUAAUCCAGUCCCAAAUGUCAAGAAACCCCAUAGCAGAGAAAGCAUUGGGAAAGCAGAGAGGGAAAAGAAAGUCAAUGGGCAGACUGGGAGCACAUUGGUUCAAAAGAUGGAGGAGGAUGGGGUGCCUGGGUGGCUCAGAUGGUUGAGUGACCAUCUCUUGAUUUUUGGCUCAGGUCAAGGUGCUGGGGUCAUGGGAUCAAGCCCUGCAUCAGGCUCUCUCUCCCUCGGCCCCUCUCUCCUGCUCUCACUCUUAUGUGUGUGCAUUCCCUCUAAAAUAAUAAUUUAAAAAAAAAUGGAGGAGGAGAAUAUAGGUAUGUAUUUCAGUUUUUAAAUGCGUUGAACAUUUUUUAAUAAUGUCUUAGAAGAUGAUAGCAGUGGUUACCUCUGGAAUACAGGACAGAGGCUGUUAGAUGAAAAAGGAGAUGUUGUUUCAUGUACCACUGUAUACCGUUUAGGAUUUUUCCUUGUGUAUGUACAACAUCUUCAAUUAAAAUGCUAUAUUGAAAACUGGGAAAAACUUUUAAAAAUAGCAUUAUUAGUAGAAUUCGUAAGUUCAAAAGCACCCAGAAAACAAUUCAGUACUAUUGUGAUACUACCAAUCUUAAAUUAUGCAAUGAAAUUGUAUCUUUCUUUAAAGAUAGCAAAUAUGAUUUAGCAGUGGAACAAAAAAACAAAAACAAGAACAAAACAAAACCCCCUGCUCCACAUUCUCUUGCUUCUGGAAAGACGCAGUGACUUGAGUCCUUUGCUAAGACCUCUUGAAUCCACUCUUUCAUUUUCUAUUCCAUGGCAUCCACCUUUAUUUCAGACUCUCAUGACCACUGCCCCAGACUAUUUCAAUAGCCUCCUAAACGGUUUGCAAUCUCUCUUCCGUCUAAUCUGUUUUAUCUACCACUGCCAGGAUUAAUCACCUUAAAGCCUGCUCUCAGAUCAUCUCAGCUCCUGUUCGGAGCCUUCCUUGUUCAGUCUGCAGUGCACUGUCCGCUGCUUGGCAGGGCAUUCAGACCUCAGCUCCCUCCAACCUUAACUCUGAUGGAGUCCUUACAUACAGCUUUCGCCAGCCAAACUGACCGCUGGCUCUGCACCUCACAUCUCCCCAGGGCCCCAUCACUGUAAUGUCUCUCCCACCUGAAAUAGAUCUCGAACGGAUCUUCAGCUUUGAUAUCGCCAGCUUCAUCAAGCCACGUGAUUGCACCAACCAGAAGUAAUUGCUCCUUCAUAAAUUCUACAGUAUUCUGCACUUUUCCUUAUGCUGCAUAACAUACCCGAUCUCAGAUUAUCAUUACUUAUGCAUUGGAUAUCCUCUGCUAGAAUUUAAACCUCUCCAAAUUGAUCCUUAUGUGUGUUUAGGAAGCACGCAGUUCUGUGUUUCUGGCUAGUACUCACUGAAAGAAGAAAUGAAUAAGAUGAAAUGCUGUGUAUUUACUGUGCUUAUUUUUUUUUAAUCUCAAUUUGAUGUCCAUUGCUUUUGACGCUAAACUCCAUUAACAUAAAACACAGUAAAGACUCAUACAAUAAACAUGGAAUCUAGAGAGUGCUGAGAAUCAUUUUCUUCUCAGGCUCGAUUUAAAACGCUCAUCUAGUGGCAGUGAGGAUCCUGUUAUAGAGUAGGGCUAUUUUUGUAAUGGAAAUGAAUGACUGUCAGCAUUUGGAUUAAUAGAUAAUCCUCUUGGAAGGUGGAAGGGGAAGGAGAAAGAGAGUACUAAAUCCUUCAGCACAAAGUACGAGCUUUAAUAAAGGAGCCAAUAAAGUAAAGGAAUUAAGAAGACACAGCAAAAGCCACAUUCCGGUCAGACUCAAGUGCUGAGAUUUAUGCGGGACUGACUCUUACAUCCUGCCCUUGUUUGUUCUUCUUCUCCUUGCACCUGUAAGCCAGAGGGCUGCAACUGUCUUCCAGUGCCCUACCUCCACUCUGCCUCCUACUUUUUUGCCUGGACUGUUGUAACAGCUAGCGAACUUGAACUUCUGCCCGUAGCUGUUUGCUCAUCUGAUUCACGCUUUACAGCUCCUGCCGCAGAUUAUCUCCUAAAAUCAAAGCAGUAGUGCCCUGUUACUUCUGGAUGAAGCCCAGGCUCUCCAGACUCGUGGUUCAAGCUCUUAAAAUCAGGCGCAUCCCCUGCCAUGCCCCGCCUCCUCAUUGCCCAGGAUCCAAUUGGACUUCAAGUCUUUGCCGAGGCUUGUCUCAUUUGCGAUAUAAUCCUCUGCUAGGGAUGUCCUUGCCCCAUUCUCUGGCUCUUUUCUGCUUACCUUCAAGAACCAGCCCAAAUGGCACCGCCUCCAAGAAGCUUUCCCUGACGUCUCUGCCUUCCAAAUGGUUCACUUUCCCUCAUCUGGCCUGUCAUCGUGCAAUGUGCUAUCACAGGUUCUACCUUUUCCUUAGAUUGUCUGUUCACAUACCUGUCUCUGUCCUCGGAGCUCCUCAGAAGCAAGGACUGUGGCAUAGAUGACUUUCUGUCCUCAGAGCCCAGCAUGGUGUGGAGAGCAGGACAGAUGCUGGCUGGGUAGGAAGUGGUGAUGGGCCCGCCUCACUCCAGGUGUAGAGGCUUCUCACAAACGUCUGGCCCUCCUCACUCUCUGUGCUCCAGCCACACAGGCCUUCUUUUGGGUCCUUGAACACACCUGGCUCCUAUCUGCCUCUGCACUAGCUUUUCCCUCGGCCAAAAACUGCCUUCAGGUGUUCCCGUGGCAGGCUCCUUUGUAUACGUUAGGUCUCAGUCAAAUCCACCUUCUCAGAUGGCCUUUCCCAACACCUUGAGUCAAGUAGCUCCCCUUGCCUGCCCCCAUCACCAGCCAACACUUCACCUCAUCCUGUUUCUUAGGAACACUCACCACACCUGAAAUUGUGGCCAUUUAUUGAUUUGCUUUUUUAUUGUCAUUGUUAUUUCAUGUCUGCUUUCCUCCCAUUAGGAAGGAACUUUUUAGUUUACUAUAGUAUAUCCAGCGUAUCCACAAUGGCACAUGGGAGGUGCUUAGUACCUGAAUGAACGAACGAAUGGACAGAUGAAUGAAUAUUUGCUGGUCUAUAACAAAAUUUCUCCAGAAAAACAAACACUCUUCCUACCUUGGAGGAACUCAAAUUCUACGAACCUUUCUAAAGUUCAUAGGUGGGGCUGAAGCUAAAAAUAUUUUAGCGACUCAAGUACAGAGACGCUUUUGAUAUUCUCGGGUUCUGUUAUGGAACGCUCUUCAUUUUGUUAUUUUAAGCAUGUCCUUGGUGACGCAGAAAGCUAUUUAAAUUGGCUGUGUUUAGGAACAGUGCCACAAGGGAGCUAGUGGCAUCCACUCGCAUGAUGGCCAUCCUGCCAACAUUAUGUUAAUCACAGAUACUUAGAGCUUUGGUUUCCUGCACAAUAUCUCCUAUGAACAGAGUACUUGAUAAAUAUUUGCUCAGUGACUGAAUGAAUGCCUUAGUAUUUUGCCCUGCUUUCUGCAGAAGAGCUUGAAUUAUUGCCCAGCUUUUCUCUGGUAAACCUAGGGCUUGCUGGCCCCUUUCCCAUCUUCUCCUUUGUGAAAAGCCCGGCUCCAUGCUGCCCAGAGGAAAGCAGGACUAGUUAUUUGGCAGCAAUGUCUGCUGCGGCCAGAAGGGGAGGACUGCUUGGGGCCAGCAUGCGCAAUGUUUUUUUGCGUGUAGCUUUGUUUGCCUUUGAUUUAUUUAUUUUCCUUUUCUGGAGAACAGUGGACUUUUCUCUAGUCAGUAAGACGGGCUCAUCAGUGUAAAUUUCCUUAAUCCCCCUCACAUUUUGAUUCACCAAAUAUCCGAGUGCCUACUUGGUGCCUGGCAGUGUGCAAAGCAUGGCAAGUAGGAGAUAAAUUGGACAGCGAGGUCUAGGCCCUGAAGGAAUAGGUGUAUGGCGUAUGGCCUAGCGAGAAAGACGGCCUUGAUUGACGCCUAAUUACACGAGGAUGAGCAAUAUUGGAGGCAAGCAUAAGAAGCCAUGAACUUGCCUAGUAGGUGCCUGCAUGACCAGACUGGGUGGUGGCAAGUCCCAUUCUUGUUGAAACCACUUUCGGCUUAUAUUUUAAGGUGACUGCUUGCAGUGUGUCCCGAGAGAAGAAAGUUUCAUUUUAUUUUUUCCCCCCGCUAUUUGUGCUGUGAUUUAUCUGUUACUUUUUCUCCCACUGGUAUAUCUCAUGGGGCAGUGUGUUUCUGAAAGUUAAGUGUCCUGAGGUCUCACGUACAUCUGCAGACAUUUGCUGUCCGUUGGAGUUGGAACAUUGGAUUCAAUCUUUAUUUUGCUGUCUUUGAAAUAUAUAUGAGGCCAGCGGCCUGUUGGAUCCCAUUCCCUUAGCUCCUUCUCCACGACUGGAUUUUUAAGUUUUUAGUCUGCGUGUGGUCCUUGCAUUCUCUCCCUGUCUAGUGCUGUUGUCCAUCAAUUUUCCUAGAGCAUCCACUUUGGAUGAAUGUCAUAUGUUUUAUCUAUUACAAGAAUAAACUUUAUAGCCAUGCUUGUGAACAGAAUUGUGGCCAUGACGGCCAUAGAGUGACGUAUCCAAAGUCUUAUUAUGGUAGGAAAUAGCUAGUCCCUUUCAUUCAACGAUUACUAAAUUCCUGUUCGUGCUAGGUUAAGUACUAGAAACUCACACAUUACCAGGAAACUCUCUUUUCUUAACGUUAGUUCAGUCACCAGGCCCACGAAACGUCAGAAGCCAGGGACAUCAAGAGCAAUGACACAAUCCUUGCCUUAAGGGAUUUGACAGUUCAGGAAGAGAGAAAUAUUGCAAAUAUAAAGGCUUCAGUAGAAUAAGACGCUGGGUUCAGUGGGAAAGAGUGGUUAGUUCUACCGUAGUGAUGAAUAGCAGUCAGAGGAGAGCAGAAAAGCCCAACAGGGCUCAAAGCUGAGCUUUAGAAGUAGAUUAGGUAUCUGACUAUACAGGGGUAAGGGAGUUUCUGGGGAAACAAAGACACAGAAGGGAUCAAGUAUGGUAUGUUUAGAUUAUCGCUAUGCAAAUAAUCUGGAGCACAGAGCAUGGCGAGAAGCAUGCUAAAUGAACGGCACAAAGGCAAUCUCCUGGAGACCCCCAUAUUGCACCCCGAGGUUCGUGGGUACACAAUAUGCCAAAGGCAAGGCGGGAGGCAGAGCCAGCAGGAGUGGGGAGAAAGGGUUUUCAGUCGGGUAGUAGUGGCAUAAACUGGUUUCUAUUUGAUAAGAUCAUCCUGGAGGAAGCCCUAAUGUGAAAUGGGGUCAGUUAGGGCAGUUCUCAACCACUGUGUCAUUACACACUAGGACAUCCCUUGAAACCUCAUUUGAAAAAAGUAUUUGCAUAUGUUGCUGGGUUUAAUGUUCUGAUUAAAAAAACAAACAAGCAAAAAAACGUUUACCUCUAUGUUAACAGGUGAGUUUGGCCUAUGAUUUUCUUUCCUUAGCCUGCCCUGGGUCAAUUUUUAUCUCAAGGUAAAACUAUCCAUAGAUGACUUAGAUUGCUUUUAUUCUCUUUCUAGAGUUUCAAAUGGUUUUAUAAGAGAGAAGCCUAUCUGUUCUUUGGAGGAUUGGUUAAAUCACUUAGAAAACCAUCCAGGCUUGGAGUCUAAUUUUGAGGAGGGAGAAAUUUUUGUCUACUUAUUCAACUAUUUUAAUGGUUACUGGAUUAUUCAGAUAUUCUAUUUUUUUCUUUGUUCAGUUUUAUAAUUUAUAUAUUCCUAUAAAAUUGUCCAGUUGCUGACAAGUCUCUUUAUUUUCAAAACUAUCUGCAUAUAGAAGCACAAGAGUCUUUUAGGGGAGAUAGAAAUAUUCUGUAUCUUAUUUGUGGAGAGAGGUUCAAAGAUAUAUCAAAACUUACCAAAUGUGGUGUUGUUUUGUAAAAUAUAUUUUUGUUUUCCUGUAUUGUAAUUAUUGUGUUGUUAAUAUAUAUAGUUCAUGGUAAAUAAAUUACACCUCAUAAAGUUGAUUCACAUUUAUCUGCAGAAAAUUGUACCAAGUAUUUUUUGUGAUUUUUAAAAAUUCUCUUCUCUGUCUUAGGACAUGUUCUUUUUUGCCUUAAUAUUGUUCAUUGGGGGUAAUUUCUCUUCUUUGUGAGUCUUGUUAAAGGUUUGUCCACUUCAUUAUCUUUUAGGUAACUCACUCUGUAGGAAGAACCCUCAGCAUCCUUGCCUUCUUGAUCUUUCUGCCAUGGUGCCUUGUAGUAUCCCUCCUCUCCAUCUCCCUACCAUUCUGUGUGGGUAAAGGAGGGCAUAUAAGAGGUUAGGUGACUGGAGGAGAAGACCCUUGUGGCAGAAACCAGAGUUAAAGGGAUGAAAUUCCUUCUUUCAAGGUGUCUAGUGCAGUCAACAGAUCAGACUCAAGAGCUAGGAGGCAGUUUCCUCUGUGCAAAUUGAUGCGGCUACCGUGUCAUUUGGUGUCUUUGAAAAUGCCCCUCCGAAUAUUUAAAGAGGGCUUAGCUGGCAGUGUGAACACCCAUUACCCUUUAGGAACUACGUUGUCUCACUUUUACAUCCAGGGCCAUCAUACCGCCUCUUGAUGCAUGACCCUACCUUAACUGGCAAACUGAAGAAAAUGGGCAGCAGAAUCUGAAAAUAAUAUAGCAUCAGUUAACUAGUAAAUAGUUAAUAUGUUUUACUCUCUUGGAAUUCAUGUAUUUGUUUUGUCAGCUAAAUAUAUCUGACUAGUUGCUUAAUGCAGUUUGUAUUGUUCUUUCUAUUUGUUGUGGAAAAAAAAUGAGUCUUCUGGAUUUGAGGGAGCUAAUUAUACUUAAUUGUUUAAUGUAAAAGUCUAUUGCUUUUUAUUUUUCUUCUAGUUAUCAAGUGCAUUCUAGGAGAAAAUAUCAUAAUAUGUGAGACUAUUUCAUAAUGCAGUGUUUAUAUCUUAAUACUAAAUAUGAGCUGAGGAAGUAAUAUCCCUAUUAAAAAUAUAUUCAGAGUUGGCACUCAGUUGUCUUGGGGCUGAUUCAAAAUAAGCAGGUGCUGUGUGAAAGAUGUACCAAAAAUAUUGUUGAACAUUAUUCCCUAUCAGUGUAAGAUAAUUAUGGGUUUUUGAAAACUAGAAAGGAAAAUGUCUGUUGUAGGUAGGACUUGGUCACUUACAAAGUCUUACUAAACAGCCUAAUGGGAAAUCCACUGUGCUUUUACUGCAUCAGCAACAAGGUUAUCUUAAAUUUGAAUUAGACCUCCCAGAAUGGAAAAAGGGGGUGAGGGGGGGUGGCAGAAACUUGAGUAAUCUUUUAUCUUGCUUCCUGAUGCUACUUUUCUUUUUACGUAUUUGAGCUAUCUUUCGUUCAUUUUGUCUUAACUUUGGGGACAAAAGUUGGAAACCCAAGUCUGAAAGCUGGGACUGCCAUAACAAAGUCCCACAGACUGCGUGGGUUCAAACAGACCUUUGUGUUCUCACAGUUCUGGAGGCUGGACAUCUGAGAUCAAGAUGUCUUCAGGGUUGGUUUCUUCUCAGGCCUCUCUCCUUGGCUUAUAGGUGGCUGUCUUCUCAUAUUGUAUUAAUGUUCUCCAGAUAAAUAGGACCAACAGGAUGUGUGUGUGUGUGUGUGUGUGUGUGUGUGUGUGUGUGUGUGUGUUUGGAGAGAGAGAACUAUCUGUAUCUAUACAGAGAAAGAGACAGAAACUGAGAGAUUUACUAAGGAAUUGGCUGUAUACUUGUGGUGACUUUGGAAAUUUAAAAUCUUCAGGGUGGACUGGCAGGCUAGAGAUUCAGCGAAAAGUCCCAAGACUUCAUCUUUGUUCUUCUAAAGCCUUCAGCUGAUUGGAAGAGGCCACCCACAUCACAAGGACAACCUGCUUUACUCAAAGUCCACCAAUUCAAAUGUUAAUCUCAUCCACAAAAAACAAAACAAAACAAAACCCCACA
This is a long non-coding RNA of Neofelis nebulosa (Clouded leopard), 8307 nucleotides long. RefSeq lists it as uncharacterized. The record is from RefSeq and is a predicted model, not a curated record. Lineage: Eukaryota; Metazoa; Chordata; Mammalia; Carnivora; Felidae. The transcript has 2 exons.